This 354-nucleotide long non-coding RNA is filed under the name Trifolium pratense (red clover). RNAcentral's name for it is "long non-coding RNA (TPRA_LNC012103)". The record is from RNAcentral. Lineage: Eukaryota; Viridiplantae; Streptophyta; Magnoliopsida; Fabales; Fabaceae.
UCUAUUCUAUCACAUUGUUUGUAGACGCACUUAACUCAACUCAACUCAACUCAACUCGCCAUAUAAACCAAAACCUCGCCGGAAAAUGAAUUAAACGAAGACGGAGUUCGUAUCAUCACUAACAAUGCUGGUGGAGUUCGUUGUUGGCCGCCGCAAACAUUGAGUAACUCCGUCCAGGUUUUCAUUCUCUCCCUGUUGACUAAAAAUGGAAUCCUUUGAGAGUUUGAGAUUGUUGGUAUUUUUUACUGUUUGUAAAAAUUUAGAUAAAAUUCGGUUUGAUUUGAUUAAAUUUUAGUUAUUAUUAUAAUUUGUCUUGGUGGAAAGUAGUUGGUUAUGUUGAAUUGCAUAAAGUGG